UUGAGGAAUAAGCCACGGCUAAUUCCGUGCCAGCAGCCGCGGUAAUACGGGAGUGGCAAGCGUUAUCCGGAAUUAUUGGGCGUAAAGCGUCCGCAGGCGGCCCAGCAAGUCUGUUGUUAAAAAGUGGAGCUUAACUCCAUCCAGGCAAUGGAAACUGCUGGGCUAGAGUGUGGUAGGGGCAGAGGGAAUUCCCGGUGUAGCGGUGAAAUGCGUAGAUAUCGGGAAGAACACCAGUGGCGAAGGCGCUCUGCUGGGCCAUAACUGACGCUCAUGGACGAAAGCCAGGGGAGCGAAAGGGAUUAGAUACCCCUGUAGUCCUGGCCGUAAACGAUGAACACUAGGUGUCGGGGGAAUCGACCCCCUCGGUGUCGUAGCCAACGCGUUAAGUGUUCCGCCUGGGGAGUACGCACGCAAGUGUGAAACUCAAAGGAAUUGACGGGGGCCCGCACAAGCGGUGGAGUAUGUGGUUUAAUUCGAUGCAACGCGAAGAACCUUACCAGGGUUUGACAUCCUGCGAAUCCCUUGGAAACUUGGGAGUGCCUUCGGGAGCGCAGUGACAGGUGGUGCAUGGCUGUCGUCAGCUCGUGUCGUGAGAUGUUGGGUUAAGUCCCGCAACGAGCGCAACCCACGUCUUUAGUUGCCAGCAUUUAGUUGGGCACUCUAGAGAGACCGCCGGUGAUAAACCGGAGGAAGGUGUGGAUGACGUCAAGUCAUCAUGCCCCUUACAUCCUGGGCUACACACGUACUACAAUGCUACGGACAAAGGGCAGCAAACUCGCGAGAGCUAGCAAAUCCCAUAAACCGUGGCUCAGUUCAGAUCGUAGGCUGCAACUCGCCUACGUGAAGGAGGAAUCGCUAGUAAUCGCAGGUCAGCAUACUGCGGUGAAUACGUUCCCGGGCCUUGUACACACCGCCCGUCACACCAUGGAAGUUGGCCAUGCCCGAAGUCGUUACUCCAACCCGUAAGGGAGGAGGACGCCGAAGGUGGGGCUGAUGACUGGGGUGAAGUCGUAACAAGGUAGCCGUACCGGAAGGUGCGGCUGGAUCACCUCCUAACAGGGAGACAAAACUGAUUGUGAUGUCUGAGCGCUAUGAGGACGAAAGUCUGAGUGGCACAUUUGUCUUAGUCCACAAUCCUGUCAUCUCGAAGGUCGAUCGGUACCUCAGCUGACAAAUCAGAAAGCAGAGAUUAGAUCCAGCAAUGGAUUUGAUUGAAGACUUGUCUGAGGCGUCUUUUCAGUUCCUAAACUUUGUCUAGGUCACACCCCACAGAGAGUGAAUCCCGCGAGGGAGGAGCUUAAUGGAAAGGUAAAACUCCUGGGCCAUUAGCUCAGGUGGUUAGAGCGCACCCCUGAUAAGGGUGAGGUCCCUGGUUCAAGUCCAGGAUGGCCCAUUCGUGUUUGGGGGUUUAGCUCAGUUGGUAGAGCGCCUGCUUUGCAAGCAGGAUGUCAGCGGUUCGAGUCCGCUAACCUCCACUGACCAAACCCUUCACAGCGAAAGCAGGAGGAGGAAACCGAGCCAUGCCAUGGUGUGACGAGACAUGUCCGCUGAUCAAGAAUUCAGCUUCUUUUCAUUUGAGAUGGAAUUGCCAUCCAGUUGAAAAGACGCUGAGCUCUAGCAGUAUGAAUGGAGGCUGAAAAGUCUGGAUUCAUGCUCUGAUGUUCAGCUGAACCUUGACAACUGCAUAA
Molecule: unclassified non-coding RNA, 1688 nt
Filed under: Synechococcus sp. 11TAC17
Lineage: Bacteria; Bacillati; Cyanobacteriota; Cyanophyceae; Synechococcales; Synechococcaceae
Description: bacterial SSU rRNA
Rfam family: Bacterial small subunit ribosomal RNA (bases 1-1056)
Source: RNAcentral